AGUGAACGCUGGCGGUAGGCCUAACACAUGCAAGUCGAACGGCAGCACAGUAAGAGCUUGCUCUUACGGGUGGCGAGUGGCGGACGGGUGAGGAAUACAUCGGAAUCUACUUUUUCGUGGGGGAUAACGUCGGGAAACUUACGCUAAUACCGCAUACGACCUACGGGUGAAAGCAUGGGAUCUUCGGACCUUGCGCGAUUGAAUGAGCCGAUGUCGGAUUAGCUAGUUGGCGGGGUAAAGGCCCACCAAGGCGACGAUGCGUAGCUGGUCGGAGAGGAUGAUCAGCCACACUGGAACUGAGACACGGUCCAGACUCCUCCGGGAGGAAGCAGUGGGGAAUAUUGGACAAUGGGCGGAAGCCUGAUCAAGCCAUGCCGCGUGGUUGAAGAAGGACUUCGGGUUGUAAAGCACUUUUGUUGGGAAAGAAAAGCAGCAGGUUAAUACGCCGCUGUUCUGACGGUACCCAAAGAAUAAGCACCGGCUAACUUCGUG
RNAcentral lists this ribosomal RNA (492 nucleotides) under uncultured bacterium. RNAcentral's name for it is "partial 16S ribosomal RNA". It matches the Rfam family "Bacterial small subunit ribosomal RNA", at positions 29 to 507 of the family's 1533-position model. The record is from RNAcentral.